This 395-nucleotide ribosomal RNA is filed under the name uncultured bacterium. RNAcentral describes it as "bacterial SSU rRNA". It matches the Rfam family "Bacterial small subunit ribosomal RNA", at positions 30 to 429 of the family's 1533-position model. The record is from RNAcentral.
AUUGAACGCUGGCGGCAUGCCUUACACAUGCAAGUCGAACGGCAGCGCGGGGCAACCUGGCGGCGAGUGGCGAACGGGUGAGUAAUAUAUCGGAACGUGCCCUGGAGUGGGGGAUAACGUAGCGAAAGUUACGCUAAUACCGCAUACGAUCCAAGGAUGAAAGCAGGGGACCUUCGUGCCUUGUGCUCCUGGAGCGGCCGAUAUCUGAUUAGCUAGUUGGUGGGGUAAAAGCCUACCAAGGCGACGAUCAGUAGCUGGUCUGAGAGGACGACCAGCCACACUGGAACUGAGACACGGUCCAGACUCCUACGGAGGCAGCAGUGGGGAAUUUUGGACAAUGGGGGGCAACCCUGAUCCAGCAAUGCCGCGUGUGUGAAGAAGGCCUUCGGUGUAAG